GGGCAUAUGGUGAUGAAUGAAAGUCAAUAAGAGAAGUGAUGACACAAAAAUCAUAAUAACAUUACACUUAGUCCC
Mesocricetus auratus (golden hamster) is the source of this 75-nucleotide non-coding RNA. NCBI's taxonomy places the organism in Eukaryota, Metazoa, Chordata, Mammalia, Rodentia, Cricetidae. The record is from Rfam.